Long non-coding RNA from Brassica napus (rape), 1356 nucleotides. RefSeq lists it as uncharacterized. The transcript has 4 exons. The record is from RefSeq and is a predicted model, not a curated record. Lineage: Eukaryota; Viridiplantae; Streptophyta; Magnoliopsida; Brassicales; Brassicaceae.
CACUGCACUUCCAGACACAGCUCGACCCACUCAACAUGUUAAAUCAAUUAUUUGCAGUUUCCGGUUACUUAUACGAUGCAAAGAUGUGUUAAUUCCCGACCGGUUAUCACCAACCUAUAAUUGAAAACACUAUCAUUCAAGCAGUGUAUGAGCUUUGUAAGUGAGUUUGAUACGGCAAGCUUCAGAUCUUGAGGUGUAACCGGGUGCUCCGAUAUCACCCAAUCGCCGGAAGGGAAUCGAGCGAGUGGCUUUCUUCCUCGUCGCCGGAGGAAGGAUCUCGAGGAAAGCGUCGAGCUCCACCACCGUUGGAGGCGACGGCGGCGUCUUCCGAGAUGAGGAGCUUUCUGAGUCAGCUGAACGUCGAAAUUGAAUCCAUCAGACGGAUUCCGCAGUGGAGAUGGAGACGCCGGAGACUUGGAUGAAGCGAUUCUCUGACGCGCACCACGUGUUCGACGGAAUGAGGAGGAGGAGUCGAAUGAGAAAGCGGUUGCGGUGGCGGAGACCAAACGUCGCGAUGCUUGCAAUGAGCGGUUGAUGUCGAUCAGACCUAGCCGCGAAUUCAAAAAUAAAAUUGAUUUUUUUUUUUUAACUUUUAAUUAAGAUAUUAAAAAAUAAAAGAUUCGCGACUGGUGUUGGUGGUAUGUGUUUCUGAAAGCAGGAACGGAGCUUACUAAAAGGAAAAACUAAACGAGAGAACGACGACGUUUGCAGUUUACUAUUGUGCUUGCUUUUUGUCUUCUGAGUGUUUUGUUGUGUCUUUUUUAUGAACAGAAAUUUUUUUAGUGGCAUGGCUGUUGACCAAGAAUCAAGCACAGAGUCACUCCAACAUAUUCCUGAAGCUAAAACCUCAUCUCAAGUUGAGAUGAUGCACGAGGAGAAAGAUGUGUGAUAUUUCUUGUGUUUCCUUUCCUUGCAUGGAGGAAGCGUUCUUAUCCAGUUUAAGAGAUUUUCAACCUGAGCUUUGUGGUACAACAGCUUAACGAGCAUUACAGGAUGGUGUUCAAGAAACAGUGGUGACAGUAGCAUUUACGGUGCGAAGCUAGAUGCAGGGGGCAGUGAUUUUGCUUCUUAAGGGUUUCCAAGUUGAUGAUCAAAUAAAGCUACUUGAACUUCAACUUUCUGGUAAGAAAGCGAUCGAUGCGACUGCUUUUUGAAAUGGCUUGAGAGGUCAAAAGUUGAAGAAGCUGAGUACAGAGACUAGAGUUUGUUCUAAGGUCGUAGCGAAGAUCAGCAUAUGCUCAGGAAGCUAGUGAGCAACUUAGAGAAAUUGUUCCUAAAUAUGAAAUAUAUAUAUUGUAAACCGAAAUUUAUUUGCAAACCGAUUUUAGUUUAUAAAUAAAUUUUAUUUUAUUUUUA